This is a long non-coding RNA of Candoia aspera, 201 nucleotides long. RefSeq lists it as uncharacterized. NCBI's taxonomy places the organism in Eukaryota, Metazoa, Chordata, Lepidosauria, Squamata, Candoiidae. The transcript is spliced from 2 exons. The record is from RefSeq and is a predicted model, not a curated record.
UUGCUUUGUGCAUUUUAGGAUAUCUUUGUUUGCUUCUUCUUUAAUAAUGUCACAAAUCUGAGUCCAGAAUUCUUCAGAACACAAAUCAAGGAUGUGAUGGAGCAAGUCUCAACAAGCCCACUGAUGGAUAUUCCUUACCUUUCAUCUACAUGGAGGCAACAGAUACCACCAAGAACUGCAGCUGUGUCACCAAUGACUUCA